GGUAAGAUCUUGCUCUCUGAUUUACAUUCCAUGAUAUCAAUCUUAGUUGAGUUGAUGGGAGUGGCCCCUGGAGAGACAAAGAUGCGUGAGACAAGGUUGAGAUGGUUCGGGCAUGUCAUGAGGAGAAGCACAUAUGCUCCUCUCAGGAGAUGUGAGAGGUUGGCCUUGGGAGGUGAGAGGAAGGGUAGAGGUAGGUCAAAGAAGUCUUGGGGAGAGGUGAUCAGACGGGACAUGGCGCAACUUGAGCUAGCCGAAGACAUGACCCUAGAUAGACGUGUGUGGAGGUUGAAGAUUAGGGUAGAAGGUUAGUAGCUAGUCGAGCGUUUCCCUUUGUCUUCUCUAGCUUGUUAGUGUUAGCGCUAGUAGGUACCAUUUUUUCCUUAGUUUGCGAUAUUCGCAUGUCUCGUUCCGUUGUUACUUGUCAUCGGUAAUUUCGUAAUUUGCUAGCAGUAUUUCGUUCAUAUUCUCAUUUGCUACCUUGGAAUUAGUUUUCUAAUUAUGUUAUCUUGCUAUUACUUGUUAUCUGGUACCUUUCAUUAGUUCAUAUUCUCAGUUGCUAUCUUUGAUUUAGUUUUCUAAUUAUUUGUCUUGCUAUUACUGCUAUCAGGGCUUCUCUCACCUUCUUUAGCCGAGGGUCUAUCGGAAACAGUCUCUCUGCCCUUUCAGGGUAGGGGUAAGGCCGCGUCCGACUUGUGGAAUUUUACCGGGGGUUGUUGUUGUUGAUAUCAAUCUUACUUCUCUUUGAUCUCCAAGAAAUUUUCUUUCCAGGAAGCUGGUAGAGCUGAAGCUGAUUUUGGUCGUCUUGACGCUAAAACAGUUGUGAGGAACAUCUACAUUCUUUUUUCUAGAAGUGAAAUACCAAUAGCCAAUGAAAAUCAGGAAAUCAUGGACAUCGUGCAACCUUCGACACCUCUACCCCCUUGGUUCUCUGAAAAAGACCUGGAAACAUAUGGAGCAUGGACAUCGUGCAACCUUCGACCCCUCUACCCCCUUGGUUUUCUGAGGAAGACCUGGAAACAUAUGGAGCUUUGUAUGAGAAAUCUGGUUUCCAGAGUGCAUUGCAGGUUCCCUAUAGGUACAACGACAAUCUAUGUCAAUUUGAGCUGUAAAGUUCCUUUUUUGACAGUUUUUUCUCUAUUAACACAGCUGUUAUAUACAGCAGACCAACAAAGGUUUUGAUUUUGAUGUCAUUUACUGCUGUGGUGAGGAAGAGGCAAACUUAAGAAAGUAAAUAAGUAUCUAUAUUAGGCUGAAGUGCUAAGUUCGAUCACUGACAAGAGGGGUUGCUCUGAUGGUAAGCAACCCCCACUUCCAACCGAGAGGUUGUGAGU
RNAcentral lists this long non-coding RNA (1331 nucleotides) under Nicotiana benthamiana. RNAcentral describes it as "long non-coding RNA (NBEN_LNC041309)". Lineage: Eukaryota; Viridiplantae; Streptophyta; Magnoliopsida; Solanales; Solanaceae. The record is from RNAcentral.